This 266-nucleotide ribosomal RNA is filed under the name uncultured bacterium. RNAcentral's name for it is "partial 16S ribosomal RNA". It matches the Rfam family "Bacterial small subunit ribosomal RNA", at positions 793 to 1055 of the family's 1533-position model. The record is from RNAcentral.
GUCCACGCCCUAAACGAUGUCAACUGGUUGUUGGACGGCUUGCUGUUCAGUAACGAAGCUAACGCGUGAAGUUGACCGCCUGGGGAGUACGGCCGCAAGGUUGAAACUCAAAAGGAAUUGACGGGGACCCGCACAAGCGGUGGAUGAUGUGGUUUAAUUCGAUGCAACGCGAAAAACCUUACCUACCCUUGACAUGUCUGGAAUCCUGAAGAGAUUUAGGAGUGCUCGAAAAGAGAGCCAGAACACAGGUGCUGCAUGGCCGUCGU